GGUUAAGCGACUAAGCGUACACGGUGGAUGCCCUGGCAGUCAGAGGCGAUGAAGGGCGUGCUAAUCUGCGAUAAGCGCCGGUAAGGUGAUAUGAACCGUUAUAACCGGCGAUACCCGAAUGGGGAAACCCAGUGUGACUCGUCACACUAUCAUUAACUGAAUCCAUAGGUUAAUGAGGCGAACCGGGGGAACUGAAACAUCUAAGUACCCCGAGGAAAAGAAAUCAACCGAGAUUCCCCCAGUAGCGGCGAGCGAACGGGGAGGAGCCCAGAGCCUGAAUCAGCAUGUGUGUUAGUGGAAGCGUCUGGAAAGGCGCGCGAUACAGGGUGACAGCCCCGUACACAAAAGCGCAUGUGCUGUGAGCUCGAUGAGUAGGGCGGGACACGUGGUAUCCUGUCUGAAUAUGGGGGGACCAUCCUCCAAGGCUAAAUACUCCUGACUGACCGAUAGUGAACCAGUACCGUGAGGGAAAGGCGAAAAGAACCCCGGCGAGGGGAGUGAAAAAGAACCUGAAACCGUGUACGUACAAGCAGUGGGAGCACAGGUUUACCUGUGUGACUGCGUACCUUUUGUAUAAUGGGUCAGCGACUUAUAUUCUGUAGCAAGGUUAACCGAAUAGGGGAGCCGGAGGGAAACCGAGUCUUAAUUGGGCGUUAAGUUGCAGGGUAUAGACCCGAAACCCGGUGAUCUAGCCAUGGGCAGGUUGAAGGUUGGGUAACACUAACUGGAGGACCGAACCGACUAAUGUUGAAAAAUUAGCGGAUGACCUGUGGCUGGGGGUGAAAGGCCAAUCAAACCGGGAGAUAGCUGGUUCUCCCCGAAAGCUAUUUAGGUAGCGCCUCGUGAAUUCAUCUCCGGGGGUAGAGCACUGUUUCGGCUAGGGGGCCAUCCCGGCUUACCAACCCGAUGCAAACUGCGAAUACCGGAGAAUGUUAUCACGGGAGACACACGGCGGGUGCUAACGUCCGUCGUGAAGAGGGAAACAACCCAGACCGCCAGCUAAGGUCCCAAAGUCAUGGUUAAGUGGGAAACGAUGUGGGAAGGCCCAGACAGCCAGGAUGUUGGCUUAGAAGCAGCCAUCAUUUAAAGAAAGCGUAAUAGCUCACUGGUCGAGUCGGCCUGCGCGGAAGAUGUAACGGGGCUAAACCAUGCACCGAAGCUGCGGCAGCGACGCUUAUGCGUUGUUGGGUAGGGGAGCGUUCUGUAAGCCUGUGAAGGUGUGUCGUGAGGCAUGCUGGAGGUAUCAGAAGUGCGAAUGCUGACAUAAGUAACGAUAAAGCGGGUGAAAAGCCCGCUCGCCGGAAGACCAAGGGUUCCUGUCCAACGUUAAUCGGGGCAGGGUGAGUCGACCCCUAAGGCGAGGCCGAAAGGCGUAGUCGAUGGGAAACGGGUUAAUAUUCCCGUACUUGGUGUUACUGCGAAGGGGGGACGGAGAAGGCUAUGUUGGCCGGGCGACGGUUGUCCCGGUUUAAGCGUGUAGGUGUGUGUUCCAGGUAAAUCCGGUUCACUUUAACACUGAGGCGUGAUGACGAGGCACUACGGUGCUGAAGCAACAAAUGCCCUGCUUCCAGGAAAAGCCUCUAAGCAUCAGGUAACAUCAAAUCGUACCCCAAACCGACACAGGUGGUCAGGUAGAGAAUACCAAGGCGCUUGAGAGAACUCGGGUGAAGGAACUAGGCAAAAUGGUGCCGUAACUUCGGGAGAAGGCACGCUGACAUGUAGGUGAAGUGAUUUACUCAUGGAGCUGAAGUCAGUCGAAGAUACCAGCUGGCUGCAACUGUUUAUUAAAAACACAGCACUGUGCAAACACGAAAGUGGACGUAUACGGUGUGACGCCUGCCCGGUGCCGGAAGGUUAAUUGAUGGGGUCAGCGCAAGCGAAGCUCCUGAUCGAAGCCCCGGUAAACGGCGGCCGUAACUAUAACGGUCCUAAGGUAGCGAAAUUCCUUGUCGGGUAAGUUCCGACCUGCACGAAUGGCGUAAUGAUGGCCAGGCUGUCUCCACCCGAGACUCAGUGAAAUUGAACUCGCUGUGAAGAUGCAGUGUACCCGCGGCAAGACGGAAAGACCCCGUGAACCUUUACUAUAGCUUGACACUGAACAUUGAGCCUUGAUGUGUAGGAUAGGUGGGAGGCUUUGAAGUGUGGACGCCAGUCUGCAUGGAGCCGACCUUGAAAUACCACCCUUUAAUGUUUGAUGUUCUAACGUGGACCCGUUAUCCGGGUUGCGGACAGUGUCUGGUGGGUAGUUUGACUGGGGCGGUCUCCUCCUAAAGAGUAACGGAGGAGCACGAAGGUUGGCUAAUCCUGGUCGGACAUCAGGAGGUUAGUGCAAUGGCAUAAGCCAGCUUGACUGCGAGCGUGACGGCGCGAGCAGGUGCGAAAGCAGGUCAUAGUGAUCCGGUGGUUCUGAAUGGAAGGGCCAUCGCUCAACGGAUAAAAGGUACUCCGGGGAUAACAGGCUGAUACCGCCCAAGAGUUCAUAUCGACGGCGGUGUUUGGCACCUCGAUGUCGGCUCAUCACAUCCUGGGGCUGAAGUAGGUCCCAAGGGUAUGGCUGUUCGCCAUUUAAAGUGGUACGCGAGCUGGGUUUAGAACGUCGUGAGACAGUUCGGUCCCUAUCUGCCGUGGGCGCUGGAGAACUGAGGGGGGCUGCUCCUAGUACGAGAGGACCGGAGUGGACGCAUCACUGGUGUUCGGGUUGUCAUGCCAAUGGCACUGCCCGGUAGCUAAAUGCGGAAGAGAUAAGUGCUGAAAGCAUCUAAGCACGAAACUUGCCCCGAGAUGAGUUCUCCCUGAGACUUAGAGUCUCCUGAAGGAACGUUGAAGACGACGACGUUGAUAGGCCGGGUGUGUAAGCGCAGCGAUGCGUUGAGCUAACCGGUACUAAUGAACCGUGAGGCUUAACCUU
RNAcentral lists this ribosomal RNA (2908 nucleotides) under Salmonella enterica. RNAcentral's name for it is "23S ribosomal RNA". It matches the Rfam family "Bacterial large subunit ribosomal RNA". The record is from RNAcentral. Lineage: Bacteria; Pseudomonadati; Pseudomonadota; Gammaproteobacteria; Enterobacterales; Enterobacteriaceae. RNAcentral also lists the same sequence under 1 other name.